CCUCCACCGUCCCCGCAAGCCGUUUCCAGGCAGUAAUCCCGGGCGGGCGAGGUCCCCUGCGUGCCGGCGCGGCCCCGAGUGUGCCCUGACGCCCAGUGUGCUACUUCACUUACUCCGAACAGUCCUAUUGUUCCUCCCAGCAGAGCCAUUGAAACGUUUGCAAAAUAGCAGAGGGUUCCAGAUGGGAGGAGCCAUUGUUCAAAGUCCAGACCACCCAGCGGGCAUGUCAGACCCGUAAGACGUUAUCCCCAACGGAAGAAACAAUGGCAGAGAAAGGAAAUCAUGUGUUUGCUGGGAGUGAAUUUUCCAGAAGGCACCUUGGCCUCAUGACACAGAAGGUCUGAUUCCAACUCUGCCAGUGAAGAACUGAGAGACCCUGGACAAGUUGUCUCGCCUUUCUGAUCAAUUGCUAUACCUAAAAUAGGUACACUGUGUGGGGGGAAGCGAUUAAAAUUUUUGAAAAAAUUUUAAUUUUUUGGUUUAUUAUUAUUUUU
Molecule: long non-coding RNA, 494 nt
Filed under: Cercocebus atys (sooty mangabey)
Lineage: Eukaryota; Metazoa; Chordata; Mammalia; Primates; Cercopithecidae
Description: lncRNA (ENSCATG00000045481.1)
Source: RNAcentral